UCUGAGUUCAGACCGGAGUAAUCCAGGUCGGUUUCUAUCUAUAAAACGUCUUUCCUAGUACGAAAGGACCGAAAAGACAUGGCCAAUAUUUUAACAAGCCAUACUUUAUUACUAAUGACAUCAACUUAAUUAGAAAAAANCUUAACAUAAUAAUUUAGACAAAAUU
RNAcentral lists this ribosomal RNA (166 nucleotides) under Heterixalus betsileo (Betsileo reed frog). Its description in RNAcentral is "partial 16S ribosomal RNA". The record is from RNAcentral. Lineage: Eukaryota; Metazoa; Chordata; Amphibia; Anura; Hyperoliidae.